GUUCUGACAAUUCUGUUUCGGGUUACUCGCUCCUUGGUAUCCACGAUUCCCACUGGCUGCUCUUUAUACUCUAAGUCUGCUUUUAUUUUGAUCCCUCGGGGUUCAAUUCUUUGCUCAGGCACUUUCAAACAUUUCCGUAGUUGCGACACAUGGAAGACCGGAAAGAUCAAGCUCAUCUCUUCAGGUAACUAAAUCUUAUAGGCCACUGGGCCUUUCCUCUCUAGCA
Molecule: long non-coding RNA, 226 nt
Filed under: Sorghum bicolor (sorghum)
Lineage: Eukaryota; Viridiplantae; Streptophyta; Magnoliopsida; Poales; Poaceae
Description: long non-coding RNA (SBIC_LNC001170)
Source: RNAcentral